RNAcentral lists this transfer RNA (73 nucleotides) under Elusimicrobiota bacterium. RNAcentral describes it as "Elusimicrobia bacterium (hot springs metagenome) tRNA-Ala". It matches the Rfam family "tRNA". Rfam says of the family: Transfer RNA (tRNA) molecules are approximately 80 nucleotides in length. Their secondary structure includes four short double-helical elements and three loops (D, anti-codon, and T loops). Further hydrogen bonds mediate the characteristic L-shaped molecular structure. tRNAs have two regions of fundamental functional importance: the anti-codon, which is responsible for specific mRNA codon recognition, and the 3' end, to which the tRNAs corresponding amino acid is attached (by aminoacyl-tRNA synthetases). tRNAs cope with the degeneracy of the genetic code in two manners: having more than one tRNA (with a specific anti-codon) for a particular amino acid; and 'wobble' base-pairing, i.e. permitting non-standard base-pairing at the 3rd anti-codon position. Lineage: Bacteria; Pseudomonadati; Elusimicrobiota. The record is from RNAcentral.
GGGGCCGUAGCUCAGUUGGGAGAGCGUCUCGUUCGCAACGAGAAGGUCGCGGGUUCAAAUCCCGCCGGCUCCA